This 497-nucleotide ribosomal RNA is filed under the name uncultured bacterium. RNAcentral describes it as "partial 16S ribosomal RNA". It matches the Rfam family "Bacterial small subunit ribosomal RNA", at positions 28 to 507 of the family's 1533-position model. The record is from RNAcentral.
GAUGAACGCUGGCGGCGUGCCUAAUACAUGCAAGUCGAGCGAACAGACGAGGAGCUUGCUCCUCUGACGUUAGCGGCGGACGGGUGAGUAACACGUGGAUAACCUACCUAUAAGACUGGGAUAACUUCGGGAAACCGGAGCUAAUACCGGAUAAUAUAUUGAACCGCAUGGUUCAAUAGUGAAAGACGGUUUUGCUGUCACUUAUAGAUGGAUCCGCGCCGCAUUAGCUAGUUGGUAAGGUAACGGCUUACCAAGGCAACGAUGCGUAGCCGACCUGAGAGGGUGAUCGGCCACACUGGAACUGAGACACGGUCCAGACUCCUACGGGAGGCAGCAGUAGGGAAUCUUCCGCAAUGGGCGAAAGCCUGACCGAGCCACGCCGCGUGAGUGAUGAAGGGCUUCGGGUCGUAAAACUCUUUUAUUGGGGAAGAAAAAAAGGGGAAGUAACUAUGCACGUCUUGACGGUACCUAAUCAGAAAGCCACGGCUAACUACGUG